Molecule: ribosomal RNA, 253 nt
Filed under: uncultured bacterium
Lineage: Bacteria
Description: partial 16S ribosomal RNA
Rfam family: Bacterial small subunit ribosomal RNA
Source: RNAcentral
UACGAAGGGGGCUAGCGUUGCUCGGAAUCACUGGGCGUAAAGCGCACGUAGGCGGCUUCUUAAGUCAGGGGUGAAAUCCUGGAGCUCAACUCCAGAACUGCCUUUGAUACUGAGGGGCUCGAGUCCGGGAGAGGUGAGUGGAACUGCGAGUGUAGAGGUGAAAUUCGUAGAUAUUCGCAAGAACACCAGUGGCGAAGGCGGCUCACUGGCCCGGUACUGACGCUGAGGUGCGAAAGCGUGGGGAGCAAACAGG